RNAcentral lists this ribosomal RNA (478 nucleotides) under Lobofemora sp. SB0399. Its description in RNAcentral is "partial large subunit ribosomal RNA". It matches the Rfam family "Bacterial large subunit ribosomal RNA", at positions 1920 to 2610 of the family's 2925-position model. The record is from RNAcentral. Lineage: Eukaryota; Metazoa; Arthropoda; Insecta; Phasmatodea; Phasmatidae.
UUAUUUAAUGGCCGCGGUAAUUUGACCGUGCAAAGGUAGCAUAAUCAUUAGUCUAUUAAUUGUGGACUUGUAUGAAUGGUUGGACGAAAUAUUAACUGUCUCUUUUUAAUAAUUAGAAUUUAAAUUUUAAGUUAAAAUGCUUAAAUUUUUUUAUUGGACGAUAAGACCCUAUAGAUCUUUAUUUUUAUUUAUUUUUUAAUGUUUAGUUUAUUUUAUUUUUAAUUUAGAUAAUUGUUUUGUUGGGGUGACAUAAGGAUAAUUAUAUAACUCCUUAUUUUAUUAAACAUUUAUUUAUGAUUAUUUGACCUUUUAUUAUUGUUAUAAGAUUUAGAUACCUUAGGGAUAACAGCGUAAUUCUUUUUGAGAGUUCAUAUCGACAAGGGAGAUUGCGACCUCGAUGUUGGAUUAAGAUUAUAGUUAGGUGUAGGUGCUUAACAAUUAGGUCUGUUCGACCUUUAAAUUCUUACAUGAUCUGAGU